Molecule: transfer RNA, 72 nt
Organism: Toxocara canis (dog roundworm)
Lineage: Eukaryota; Metazoa; Nematoda; Chromadorea; Rhabditida; Toxocaridae
Rfam family: tRNA
About the family: Transfer RNA (tRNA) molecules are approximately 80 nucleotides in length.
Source: Rfam
AUGGCAGUAGCUCAGUGGUAGGGCUCCCGCUUCGUACUCGGGAAGAGCUGGGUUCAAUUCCCGGCUGCUUUC